Molecule: long non-coding RNA, 842 nt
Organism: Tupaia belangeri chinensis (Chinese tree shrew)
Lineage: Eukaryota; Metazoa; Chordata; Mammalia; Scandentia; Tupaiidae
Exons: 7
Source: RefSeq, a predicted model, not a curated record
UGCAUCCACUUUGCCUCUUUUAAUUUCCUCGGAUUGUUGGAUAACCCCAGGAUUAAGCCCAUUCAAAUGGUCAUAAUUCUAAGAAAAAAAGAAAAGUGGAGGACGGAGAAUGAAGCUCUGUGGAUUAAAGAGCAGGAAGUGCUGAUUUUGUACAUUAAAGUGUAAUUUGUUUUACAUCUACAAAGGCAGCAGCCUUAGUGUCUCUGAAGAAGUAUGGCAUGGGGACUUGUGGAUCCAGAGGAUUUUAUGGCACGUUUGAUGUUCAUUUGGAUCUGGAAGAUCGCUUGACCCGGUUUAUGAAGACAGAAGAAGCCAUCUUAUACUCGUAAGGCUUUGCCACUGUAGCCUGCACCAUCCCUGCCUACUCUAAGAGAGGGGACAUUGUCUUUGUAGAUAGAGCAGCUUGCUUUGCUAUUCAGAAAGGAUUAUAGACAUCAUGCAGUGACAUGAAGAUAUUUAAUCAUAAUGAUAUGGCUGACUGGGAGUGACUGCUAAAAGAACAAGAGAUCAAAGAUUUAAAGGUACCGCCUACUAUCUUAUUUUGGAAGGAGUCCUAAUACUCUGGAUAAUCAGAGUUCUUUUCUUUAAAACUUAUGAAUUACAAGAACGAUCUGAUCUUACACUCAAGGAAAAGGAGGAGUUGAUUGAAGAAUGGCAACCAGAACCUCUUGUUCCUCCUGUCUCAAAAGAUCAUCCUGCUCUCAAUUACAACAUUAUUUCUGGGUGUAUUGUGAGCUGUGGAGAACUAGCCCUUGACACUGAUUCCUGGCCCUGAGAAUCACGAGGAAAAUGAUAUGCCGAGAGCCAUCCAGCCUGCGGCCCUGUGCGAUGGCAGCCCGAGC